GUGUCAGCAGCCGCGGUAAUACGGAGGAUGCAAGCGUUAUCCGGAAUCAUUGGGCGUAAAGCGUCCGCAGGUGGCUCUUCAAGUCUGCCGUCAAAACUCAGGGCUUAACCCUGAACAGGCGGUGGAAACUGAAAAGCUAGAGUGCGGUAGGGGUAGAGGGAAUUCCCGGUGUAGCGGUGAAAUGCGUAGAGAUCGGGAAGAACACCAGUGGCGAAAGCGCUCUGCUGGACCUGCACUGACACUGAGGGACGAAAGCUAGGGGAGCGAAUGGGAUUAGAUACCCCUGUAGUCC
Molecule: ribosomal RNA, 292 nt
Filed under: uncultured bacterium
Lineage: Bacteria
Description: partial 16S ribosomal RNA
Rfam family: Bacterial small subunit ribosomal RNA
Source: RNAcentral